Molecule: ribosomal RNA, 627 nt
Filed under: uncultured Verrucomicrobiota bacterium
Lineage: Bacteria; Pseudomonadati; Verrucomicrobiota
Description: bacterial SSU rRNA
Rfam family: Bacterial small subunit ribosomal RNA
Source: RNAcentral
UAGCAAUAUUCUCUAGUCGGAGUGGCGCAAGGGUGCGUAACACGUGGGUAAUCUGCCGUGAAGCCUGGGAUAACUCGCUGAAAGGCGAGCUAAUACCGGAUGUGACUGUGAGGGAGCAUUUUCUCGCAUUCAAAGCUGGGGACCGCAAGGCCUGGCCCUUCACGAUGAGCCCGCGGCCUAUCAGCUAGUUGGUGAGGUAACGGCCCACCAAGGCUAAGACGGGUAGCUGGUCUUAGAGGACGACCAGCCACACUGGAACUGAGACACGGUCCAGACACCUACGGGUGGCAGCAGUCGAGAAUUUUUCACACUGGGCGAAAGCCUGAUGGAGCGACGCCGCGUGGGGGAUGAAGGGCUUCGGCUUGUAAACCCCUGUCAUUUGCGAACAAACCUGGCAUCCGAAUAGAAUGCCGGACUGAUUGUAGCAAAAGAGGAAGGGACGGCUAACUCUGUGCCAGCAGCCGCGGUAAUACAGAGGUCCCAAGCGUUGUUCGGAUUUACUGGGCGUAAAGGGUGUGUAGGCGGUCAAGAUAGUCUGACGUUAAAUAUCUGGGCUCAACCCAGAUACCGCGCCGGAUACUUCUUGGCUAGAGAAGCAUAGGGGGAACCGGAAUUCUCGGUGUAGCA